Molecule: ribosomal RNA, 253 nt
Filed under: uncultured bacterium
Lineage: Bacteria
Description: partial 16S ribosomal RNA
Rfam family: Bacterial small subunit ribosomal RNA
Source: RNAcentral
UACGGAGGGUGCAAGCAUUGAUCGGAAUCAUUGGGCGUAAAGGGCGCGUAGGCGGCCGAGUAAGUUAGAUGUGAAAUACCAUGGCUCAACUAUGGUGCUGCAUUUAAAACUGCUCGACUUGAACGUAGUGUGAGAAAACAGAAUUUCGCAUGUAGCGGUGAAAUGCGUAGAUAUGCGAAGGAAUACCGGUGGUGAAGACGGUUUUCUAUGCUACAGUUGACGCUGAGGCGCGAGAGCAAGGGGAGCAAACAGG